CAGGUAAUCGCAGGCUACUCAAGUGUUGAUUCAAGAAAACAGAUAAAGGGUCAUUGGGUGCUAAGAAAACUUUGAGUGACAAUCCCGACACACCUUUCAAGUUCAAACUCUACUAAGAAAGGGAAGCUUUUCUUCUUUGAAACAUGAAAAUAAAACUAAAUGCAUCAAUUCGAAUAUCCAAGUAGAUCUCAACACGACUAACCUACAUAUUCAUCCUAUCUCGAUUUCUAAUUCAAACCAGCAUACAAGACACUAAUCAAAUUUGCGAAUGACGCGCAUCACUAAUGUCACGAUCCAAACUCCCGGUCGUGAUGGAGCCAAACACCCUGUAAGGAAAGCCGACCAUUUAAACAUUUCCCAGCCAAAUUAUUUACUUAGAUACCAAAUUUAAGAUAAAUUCUCAGUUUGAUAAUAAUAGAAAAUACUGCGAGAACGUAAUCAAAAGUAACAACAGCUCAAAGGAUCCGGCGUGACAAGUCAGAGUCUCUAGAUACAAUAGGACAGCAUCCUAAACAAGAAAAAUCUGGAUGCGGAAAUAAAAGAUAGAUAAGAGGAGAAAUUAGGUCCUGCGGACGCCAGCAACUACCUCGAUAUCUCCGGAACCGAACUAGGCAACAGCAGAUAAGCACAGGUAAGCCUCUGGGAUCCCUGCAUCUGCACACAAGGUGCAAGGAGUAGAGUGAGUACUUCAAACUCAGGGAGUAAUAGCAUUAAAUAACAACUGAAUCUAAGAAAUCCGGUAAGAACACUAUACAGUUCUAAUAUCAACAGUAACGAUAGUGAAUAAUGCUAAACAGGGUAGAGAAUCUGAUAAAUACUUCUCUUUCUGUCUGACUAGUUACUAAUACUGAUGCGGCGGGCAGCCCGAUCCAAUACCAUACAUAUAAUGUUGCAGCGUGAAGCCCGAUCCAAUAUAAUAUAAAUAAUGCUACGCGUGCAGCCCCAUGCAAUAAUAUAGUCGACUGCGCUCACUUGGGGUGUGUGCAGACUCCAGGAGGGCUCCUUUAGCCCAAGCGCUAUAAUAUUGCGGCGUACAGUCCGAUCCAUAUAAUAUUUCACUGCGGCGUGCAGUCCGAUCCAUAUAAUAUAUUUUUGCGGCGUGCAGUCUGAUCCAUAUAAUAUAUAUAAUAUUGCGGCGCCCAACCCGAUCCAAUAUAAUAUAUAUAAUGUUGGUGUGUGCAACCCGAUCCAAUAUAAGAUAUAAAAUGUUGCGGCGUGCAAACCGAUCCGGUAUAUAUAUCAUAUACCCUCAUUGCGGGGUCCUUGACCCCUCUCAAUCAAUAUAGACUUGGCCUCUUGGGCCCACUUAGCUAAGACAUGGUAUUCGACCAUAGGUAUUUCUCAUUUAGGGUGCAAGUUACUACGUCCAGUUUAUUUCAUGAUUUACAAUCAAAGUCGGGACAGAUGGUAUGUGUUCAAUAGGUAAAGUGAGGUCAAUCGGCUCAACAUGCUCCCUAGGAGUUCUAUGGAUCGGCACAAGGCCCCAAACAUGGCAACUAGCCCAAAUAUAUACAGGUACAAGCUCAGUCUUAGUCAAAAGUGCAGUAAGUCAUCAAUCGGGAUCGACCAAAUCCGAGUCCCCAGCAGAAAGAUCACCAUGCUCAUCAUAUGACGCAUGUUUUAUCUCAACGUAGCACCGCAUAGUGAAAAUACCGGGUUUCAAACCCUCAGUAUAUCAUUCAUAACCAUUACUCACCUCAAACCGGCCAAAAUCCUAGCUCACCUUGUGCUUUCCUUGCAAAUCAACCUCCUCGAGUACAGAAUUUGAUCAAAACCACAAGGAAUAUGUUAAUGGAACAUAACCCAAUAGAAAGAACUCGAAAAAUACCCAAAAACACGAAGUUGGCAAAACCCGAGCCCCGGGCCCACAUCUCAAAAUUCAAAAAUCUUUACACCAAAACGAUCCUUAUCACGACACGAGUCCAUACAUAUCAAAUUUACAAGAAUCGGAGUCCAUUUGACCCCUCAAUCAACACUUUAAGCUCACUUGGGUUUCAAGCCCUAACCACCAUUAUUUUUAACCUUAAAACCCUUGAAUUCUUAGUGUUUAAUCCAUGUUUUUACACUAUAAUGACAUACUCUAAGUCCAAGAAUCCAUACCUGAUGAUUUCCCCCAAAAUCCUCUUCAAAAUCGCUCCCAAACUCGCCUAAGUCCGAGGUCCAAAUGUUCUUCUCUUUUCAAACUUGUGAAAUCACUGCUCAUUAAACCCAGCACGUUUUCCGCUUCUGUGGUCAUAUAUCCGCCUAUGUAGCUCUCGCUUCUGCGGCCUCUCGACCGCUUUAGCGGUCCAAAUUAUUCUCCCAAGGUCCGCUUUUGCGGUCAACUACCACUUACGCAGUCACCGCCUAUGCGGUCUUCCUUCUGAACUCGCGAUCCAGUCCAACCUCCCAUUGGUCGCUUUUACAUCUCACCCGCCGCGUAUGCGGAACCGCUUAAGCGGCUCCUUUUUCGCAGACACGGAAAUAGCAGAAGCAGCACAUCCAAAAAUGGCAAAAACUCCUACAACCUCCGUUCAACCAUCCGGAAUUACGCCGAGGCCCCCCGGGCCUAAACCAAAAACACAGAUAUGAUCUAAUACCUUAUUCAAACUUGCUCGAGCCAUAAAACACUAACAUUAACACCGAAAAUCACCAAAUUCCUCCAAUCCAAGCCUAAGUUUCUUAAGAACUUCCGAAAUGCACAUGCAACCAAAAGUCCACCAAACAACGUCCGAAUGACCUGAAAUUUCUCACACAUAUACAAAUUCACCUAACGGAGCUACUGCAAUUCUCGGAAUCCCGUUCCGAACCUCCGAUUAAAAUCUCGCAUGCCAACCUGAUUCUCCGAAGUUCUAACUUCGCCAAAGUAGGCUAACAUUCACACCGAACCUCCAAAUUAACUUCUGUUUUCCCUCUUACAUCAUAAAUCAUCCCCCAAAACUGGUCGAAUCAUCUAAAAUCCAUUCUGAGCCCUCUAUCUCACAACUCAACGUCCGGUUGACUUUUCCAACUUAAGCCUUCCUUAAAGAGACUAUUUGUCUCAUUUAUAUCAAAAUUCAAACCAAAACACUUCAAACUCACCAAACACAUAUAAUGAAACAUGGGGAAGCAUAAAACAGGGAAACGAGGCGGAAAUACAAGAGAUGGCGGGUCGGGUCAUCACAACUGAUCCAUCAGUUACACAACAAACAAAGUUCAGAAACAUAGUAAGAUCGAGCUAAGCCAACAACGAACUUAACUUCCAAACAGAAACACAAUUUAUAUCAAAGCAAAACAAAGUAUCAAUUCCAAAUAAGUCGCGGCUAAACGGACUCUUUAACAUAUUGCAAACUAACUAGGCUCUCAUCAUAUUUUCAAUAACACCAAAGCAGAACAAGAGAAACAAACGAACCUGGAAAUUAAGCUUUCAAUUAAUGUUGUCGGUGUCGAUUACAACAAAAGAAGAUUCAACGAUGAACUUGAGAGCUAAAAACUGCUACUGAAGAUCCGAAAUCAACAAUGAAGCAACGAAGCAGGAAAACAGCUCAAGGAAUGCGAACACGAACACCUCGACUGACGAACAAAACUUCAGCACUCAACAACGAUUCAAUCGAAUUCCAUGAAGAAAAAUGAAAACAGAAGCUGGAAGAUGAUUUUUGUUCAUUUGUUUUUGUUUUUUUAAUCUCUGGACGUGAAAAACAAAAACGAAAGUGAUCCGAAGAAAACCUCAAGAAUCCCAAUUUUCAAAUCCGAAAUUUUAUCCUCAAACCCUUUCUCCAAGUUUUUUUCAAUAUCUGUCUAGUCCCAAAUAUAUAGUCCUCUCUCGAAGCUUCUUUUAUCCCUCUGCAAGAAAUCACAAAAACCCUUCAAAAAUCUAAAAAACCCCAAAAUUCCAAAAAUCUCCUUCUUUUUGGUAAAAAUCUGGGCAAAUGGAAAGGUAUGAUUAAUUCUCAUUAAUCAUAUCCUACCCUUCGUCCAUCAUCUACCGUUGAAAGAGAUUCACGUGUGAUAUAGCAACACAAAACACGGACCAAAAUCGGUUAUAUGUCAGGCCAGGUGGAAGAAAGAGAGAAGGAAAAGGGGGACCAUGAGGGAACCAUGAGUGAUCUCGACGGGUUUGGACGAGUUCCGGCGAGUUUGGGAUGUUGUUGAUGCGGGCGGAGCUGGGGUGGGGGCGGUUGCUUUUGGUGCGGUAA
Molecule: long non-coding RNA, 4154 nt
Filed under: Nicotiana benthamiana
Lineage: Eukaryota; Viridiplantae; Streptophyta; Magnoliopsida; Solanales; Solanaceae
Description: long non-coding RNA (NBEN_LNC003561)
Source: RNAcentral